CCUGUAGCAGAGCAGCCCGUCAACCGUCCACUGUAACUUGCAAUUUAAUUCCCAAAAAUCAAAACCUUCAAAUUUCAAGUUGUAUUAGAUGGAAGAAGAAGAUGUAAGUUUAAAUUUUAUGAUUUUGUUUGUAAAUUUCAGUUUUUUGUCAAAGUAUGCGUAAAAUAUAUAUCUCUAGAUUGGUAAUUUUUGAAAGAAUUUUACCUGAAUUUCAAC
Molecule: long non-coding RNA, 216 nt
Filed under: Olea europaea subsp. europaea
Lineage: Eukaryota; Viridiplantae; Streptophyta; Magnoliopsida; Lamiales; Oleaceae
Source: RNAcentral